UACGUAGGGUGCGAGCGUUAAUCGGAAUUACUGGGCGUAAAGCGUGCGCAGGCGGUUUUGUAAGACAGGUGUGAAAUCCCCGGGCUUAACCUGGGAACUGCAUUUGUGACUGCAAGGCUAGAGUAUGGCAGAGGGGGGUAGAAUUCCGCGUGUAGCAGUGAAAUGCGUAGAUAUGUGGAGGAAUACCGAUGGCGAAGGCAGCCCCCUGGGUCAAUACUGACGCUCAUGCACGAAAGCGUGGGGAGCAGACAGG
Molecule: ribosomal RNA, 253 nt
Filed under: uncultured bacterium
Lineage: Bacteria
Description: partial 16S ribosomal RNA
Rfam family: Bacterial small subunit ribosomal RNA
Source: RNAcentral